This 217-nucleotide ribosomal RNA is filed under the name uncultured Streptococcaceae bacterium. RNAcentral describes it as "partial 16S ribosomal RNA". It matches the Rfam family "Bacterial small subunit ribosomal RNA", at positions 122 to 334 of the family's 1533-position model. The record is from RNAcentral. Lineage: Bacteria; Bacillati; Bacillota; Bacilli; Lactobacillales; Streptococcaceae.
UAACCUGCCUCUUAGCGGGGGAUAACUAUUGGAAACGAUAGCUAAUACCGCAUAAAAGUCGAUAUCGCAUGAUAUUGAUUUGAAAGGUGCAAUUGCAUCACUAAGAGAUGGUCCUGCGUUGUAUUAGCUAGUUGGUGAGGUAACGGCUCACCAAGGCGACGAUACAUAGCCGACCUGAGAGGGUGAUCGGCCACACUGGGACUGAGACACGGCCCAG